GAUGAACGCUGGUGGCGUGCCUAACACAUGCAAGUCGAGCGAUUCUCUUCGGGAAGAGCGGCGGACGGGUUAGUAACGCGUGGGUAACCUUCCCUGUACCCACGGAUAACAUACCGAAAGGUAUGCUAAUACGAGAUAACAUGCUUUUAUCGCAUGGUAGAAGUAUCAAAGCUUUUGCGGUACAGGAUGGACCCGCGUCUGAUUAGCUAGUUGGUGAGGUAACGGCUCACCAAGGCGACGAUCAGUAGCCGACCUGAGAGGGUGAUCGGCCACAUUGGAACUGAGACACGGUCCAAACUCCUACGGGAGGCAGCAGUGGGGAAUAUUGCACAAUGGGCGAAAGCCUGAUGCAGCAACGCCGCGUGAGCGAUGAAGGCCUUCGGGUCGUAAAGCUCUGUCCUCAAGGAAGAUAAUGACGGUACUUGAGGAGGAAGCCCCGGCUAACUACGUG
This 451-nucleotide ribosomal RNA is filed under the name uncultured bacterium. Its description in RNAcentral is "partial 16S ribosomal RNA". It matches the Rfam family "Bacterial small subunit ribosomal RNA", at positions 28 to 507 of the family's 1533-position model. The record is from RNAcentral.